GCCACAUGGUCAUCUCCUUCAUGACCAGCCACCACCACCAGCAACCUUCUUCUUCUUCCAACACCAUCUCUUUUUUCUCUCCUUCUUCUCCCUCACCACCACCAGCACCCUUCCUUUCCCCAUUCCCUACCACCACCGGCAACCAGCACCGUUCUUUUUCCCAUCUCCCUCACCACCGCCAACACCAUCUCUUCUUUCUCUCCCUCUUCUCCUUCACCACCACCAGCACCCUUCCUUCCCCCAUUCCCUACCACCACCGGCAACCUUCUCUUCCCCCUUCCUCCAAUCCCAUCCCAAUCAUUUUCUCUCUGAUCAACCAUAAAUUUGGCUGAGCAGAGCCGAUCUGAGCCAUAUAAGCCGAGUCCAGAAGCCAGCCGAGCCGAUUCCAGAUCAACAGCUCAACCCAGCAGCCAGUCUAGCCGAUCAGCAGCCAGAUCAGUC
Molecule: long non-coding RNA, 441 nt
Filed under: Aquilegia coerulea
Lineage: Eukaryota; Viridiplantae; Streptophyta; Magnoliopsida; Ranunculales; Ranunculaceae
Description: long non-coding RNA (ACOE_LNC000527)
Source: RNAcentral